Molecule: long non-coding RNA, 834 nt
Filed under: Gallus gallus (chicken)
Lineage: Eukaryota; Metazoa; Chordata; Aves; Galliformes; Phasianidae
Description: lncRNA (ENSGALG00010005090.1)
Source: RNAcentral
AUUGACUCAAAGUUUGCUGAGGAACAAGUCCAGGCAAGUCCUGGGCAAAGGCAGAGAAAUCUUUUGUCUUGAGGACACUGAUGGACAGGUCCUGGCUAAGGGUUGUGAAAUCCUCUAAGGAGCACAGAUGGACAAGGCCGGGGGCAACGAGAGAGAGAUAAGCUGCUGAUAAUGGCCGGGAAACGGUCUUUUUGUGUGGACUUAUCUCGAGGAAGAUGGCCAUCUCAGGAGGUAUACACAGGACUCUUGCUCAAGCACCCAGGGAUGUCACGUAGGCAGCAGAAAAUGGAGGAUAAAAGAGGGUCCAACAACCACGGCGAUGUGGAGGCUGAUCUCUCAUGAUCUCUCACCACGACACGAGCUUUCUGCCUUCAGAUCCUUCUCUACGGACCGUUUGUUGACGGACUUCCCUGGGCCUGCUACCUGAGACCUGCUGCUUCCUCCCUGACCUGCACCCUCUGGUUGCCCAAGACCGGCCUCGCUGCUCCUGCUCUUCGGCCUCGGACCGUCAGAAGGUCGUGCAAUGGGACUGCUGCCGGAUCCUGGUGGAAAGUUUUUCUACAGCUGGAAAUGCUUCAGGGCGAUGCAAGCCAAACAGUUACUGCGUGCUGGGGACUGUUUCCAGAAAUAUGGAGUUCUGGAUAUUUAUCACACAGAGCAGCUGAAGUGAUCUUUCAGGAAGGUCUGUAAUAGACUACAGAUAAGGACAUGUCUAGAAGAAUAAACCAUCACCUUUUCAUUUAAGAGAAAGCAUUUUAAAGAAGAAUACCUUCUUUUUCCAUCUGAUGGGAAGACAAGGAAUCUUUUUUCAUCGUUUCUGUUUUACUCGAGGUA